This is a long non-coding RNA of Cercocebus atys (sooty mangabey), 535 nucleotides long. RefSeq lists it as uncharacterized. The record is from RefSeq and is a predicted model, not a curated record. The transcript has 3 exons. NCBI's taxonomy places the organism in Eukaryota, Metazoa, Chordata, Mammalia, Primates, Cercopithecidae.
AAGCUGGACCAGAACAAUCCAGAGACCAAUGAGGACGUGAAUGGCCAGCCAGGGAGCCGAUAUCUGUUAAGGCUUUGUCACCCUGUGGCCUUAGCCAUGUUGCUUCUCCUCUCUUGGUGUCAGCUGUUUAUUUGCAAAGCCGGGGCUGGACUCGACAAACAGCGCUCAAAGUCCUUUUGUAGUUGAAAUAUUCCAGAGGAUGCUGUCACUUGGAAAUACGUUCUCUCAGGUAUCCUAGAAGUAUCAAUCACUGGACCUGCCCACCCGCUCUGCCCGCUCUGACUUCUAAGGGAUGACACUACUCCACAUUCAGCCUCUGCUGCCCAGGCCUCCGUGUUCUUGCUCCAGGCUGGCUUUACAGUUCUGCAGGCUGUAUGAGCACGGCACCAGCAUUGGCUCGGCUUCUGGUGAGGAUCUUAGGAAGCUUACAAUCAUGGCGGAAGGAGAAGCAGAAGCAGGUGUCUCACAUGGUGACAAUGGGAGCAAGGCUGGGGUAAGUGCCACACACUUUUAAAAAAACAGAUCUCGGCCAGGC